This 1207-nucleotide long non-coding RNA is filed under the name Dasypus novemcinctus (nine-banded armadillo). RNAcentral describes it as "lncRNA (ENSDNOG00000050156.1)". The record is from RNAcentral. Lineage: Eukaryota; Metazoa; Chordata; Mammalia; Cingulata; Dasypodidae.
GUGCCAGGCAUACAGCAGGCGCUCAAUAGCUGUUUGUUGAAUGAAUGAACUGAUCACCGAUGGACAAAUCGGUCCCGGGGAUUUGGGCUCAUGCUCGCAGCAGACACUAGAGGGCGCCCGGCGACAGGCCGGAUCCGGGCGCAUCGCCCCGAGGGCUCGGAACCUUGGCCCCGGCCCGUGGCGCCGCUCCAGGUAGCUCCGGGUCAGGUGGGAACCCUGGGCCAGACGGCUUUGGUUAGGAAUACGGAAUGACGACGAGCAAGGCUUCGGGCCAGGCCGCCUGGGGUGAAUCCGGGCUCGCACACCUUCUGGCUGUGUGGCCUUGGCCAGUUCUCAAGCCCCCCGGUGGGACUCGGUUUGCAAUUCUGCAGAAUGGGUACAAGAAGAGCCGUCACGUCCUAUCGUGGGGGGUCCAGGGGAUGCUGCCGGUGAAGACCUAGCACAGUUCCUGACGCUUGGCAAUCCCCCGGGGGGAUGGGGGAGGCACUGCCACCCGCGCCUUCCAGAGCAUCCACUGCGCAUGUCUGCAGGUGCGGGAGCUUUGCGGUGCUCAGAGCAUCAGAUACGGAUUGGAGAGCCCCGUGCGCGCGAGAGGAAAGGAAGGAGGCAGCGAGUGUGUCCUGGACUCGCACGUGCUAGGUGGUUCACAGGUGGGAAUUGCUGAGAAGGGAGCCGGGUCCAAGGUCAUGCCAGCUCUGAGGACGCAUGGGAGCUCAGGGCACAGGUCCCGAAAUGCCCUGCCCUCUGCCUGCCCUCUGCUGAAUCGUCCUGCUUUCAAGGCCUCCCCCGGGGCGGUGCCACCUGCCUGCCAGCACUCCGGAGUCACGGGGCUAGAGGCUCAUGGCCAAGCCACCUCCCGGGUCGCCGGCCUUUCCCCCAUGGGGCUCCCGGAAGUCCUUUCUCCCUUGCACCGCCCACUCCCAGGCCACCCUGUCAGAGGGCUGCGGAACUGACCGUCCUCCCUGAGGCCCUCUCAGAAGCAGGAGAACAAAGUUCAGCUAGAGACGCAGCUGAACUGGCCAAGGACGGAGGAGCCUCCAGUCCAGGGCCCCAUCACCACGCGGCCUUGGCCGUGGAGCCAGGGGCCCUGGGACUGGUGAACGCACCCGGUCACCGGCUGCUGAUGAGCUCGCGGCCGGGAGAGGCGCUUUGCCCGGCGGCCCGCGUCUCGUCUGCACACGGCACCAGCAGGGGAGCUGACUAUUAA